RNAcentral lists this long non-coding RNA (255 nucleotides) under Salvia miltiorrhiza (redroot sage). Its description in RNAcentral is "long non-coding RNA (SMIL_LNC012727)". The record is from RNAcentral. Lineage: Eukaryota; Viridiplantae; Streptophyta; Magnoliopsida; Lamiales; Lamiaceae.
GGAUUCUCUCAAGAUAAAAAUCAACAUUAAAAUUUACUCAAUAAGAUCAACAAUACAGAAAAUUUACUAUGCAACAAGAACAACAACAAAACAAAAUUUCUGAGAAAAUCAAAAUUUUACUCAGAAAGAUAAAAAAAAAUACUCACAACAGCAACACAAAAAUCGAACAAAAAUAAAAAUAAAUCCACCGCAGAGAUUCGAGACAAGAUGAGCGAAAAUCGAACAAAAUCAAAACAAAAAUCGAAACCCAAUUAA